RNAcentral lists this transfer RNA (72 nucleotides) under Andinoacara pulcher (blue acara). Its description in RNAcentral is "tRNA-Val". It matches the Rfam family "tRNA". From Rfam's summary of the family: Transfer RNA (tRNA) molecules are approximately 80 nucleotides in length. Their secondary structure includes four short double-helical elements and three loops (D, anti-codon, and T loops). Lineage: Eukaryota; Metazoa; Chordata; Actinopteri; Cichliformes; Cichlidae. The record is from RNAcentral.
CAGGAUGUAGCUAAAGCAGAAAAGCACCUCCCUUACACUGAGAAGUUACCCGUGCAAAUCGGGUCACCCUGA